CGACGGGUUGAUCGGGGGCACCCGCAGACGAUGAGAAGAGGACAGUAUAUGCUAAAAGAGAGGGGACCCGCCGCCGCUUCCCUUCCCUUCUCUCCCCUCGCUGCCGCCCUACCGCUCGCACAUGUAUGGCCACGUCCCCUGCCUCCUCCUCCACGCCCACCGCGACCUGGUGGAGGGGCGGCUGCGGAGGCUGUAGGAGCUGUAGGAGUUCCGGCUCGUUCGAGGCGAGGUGGAGACCGAGUAGUAGCGCUCUCUUAUGAAGUUCGUUCCCUUCGAGCUUGUCAAGGCCGUCUAAAAUCUCCUUCCUAGACCGGGUCUUUAGCUACUAAUAAUACGACUACACUUCAUACUCGCCUAUCGAUAGGAAUUACGAAACCCGCGAAAAGUAUGAAAGAACCCUUUCCGACUCUUUCGUGGUGUCUUCCUUCACGUAAAGUUUCUACGCUGAGUCAUGAUGUUAUCCCGCAGCUCCUAUCUACUUUGACUUGGAAGAUGGACCUAACCUUCUCCAGUUGAGACGCACCGGUUCCCACUCAACGUUUACCGUAGACUGAGUAAGUUCUAACAAAACCUACUCCUACCCCUAUUAAAGGGUCGGGAAGAACCAGUCCGAAGACAAAUAAAGGACUACCCACUAUGCCUUGUUGUUGUGUUCUUUCGAAACCUUACAAUAUUCUUGAGUGAUCUUGAGAUAUUCUCUCGAGACGCCCCUAUACGUCUAACAGGACGACGACAUUCCGAACCAUAUCGAAAAACAGCUAUGUUUGAACCAGUCGAUCUGUCCCGGGCUGUUCGAAAACUAUCUCAGAAUGUCAACCUGGGACUUUUGAAACUACGCGAUCAUCGUGAGCGCUAGUACCUAAACGUUUGUUUACUUCGACCACUUUAAGCGUCACCCUACCUCUUUUACUCUUCUCGGAAACUUUAAAUAGGAAUAACGUGAAACCGUGAGUUGGUGGACCGGUUGGUAAUAAAGAAAUGACCGGUCGUAAAACACCAACUCGUUGACUCACUCUGACGAGACAGAAGUUCGUCAGUACCUGAUGACUUUAGUGUUAGGAUGAUAUUGAAUCGGUCUAGUAUGGUAUCAUUCCCACUAAAACUCUGACGACCUGCCAUAAUAUACCGUAGACAGUUUCUUCAGUUAUUUGGCGUUCUGAAACACAACGGUAAACAACCGGAACCAGUUUAUGUUAAUUUUAAGCCACUGAAGUUUGCAAGGAAUCGAUCGAAGCUCUUUCACGACCUCCAUGUGGGGCUUUUAACACUUUCAAACUUCCGAUAACCCUUGUAGAUACGUUUGAACCCACUCUUACUGUUUCGGUAUCUUUGGAAAUUCUUCCAAUGUGCCUAACUAGGUUUUCUAGUGGUCCGUAAACAACUUGAGCCACUUAACAACCAUCUUAGACUAACCCGACGACGGUACCUUAUGAAUUUCUGUCGUACGUGAGAGGAUUCCUUCCGUCCUCUCUUUUAUGGCCAACUUAACGAGUUACCUUAACCUGAAGAAAUAAAACUCUUCCGUCUCAAACUCAACCGACUCGUUUCAAAAUUCCUUCGAGAUCCUCUGCCAUAGACCCAAAGUUAAUACCUACCCUGACGACCAUCAAGGUAUCGUUUGACCUCACACGUCAUGUCCCUAGUCUCAAAAAAAGUGGUUGAACUUCUUUUGCAUAGAGAACUUAAUGGGACGCUAUUUCAGUGGUGUAACAAAUUGAUACGUUCUAAUAACCUUCUCGAAGUACUAUGACACUUUCGGUCGGAGGAAAUGGCAGAGUAAUAAAAGUUCAUGGGUCUGAUGUAACUACGGAUAGACUCCAAUCCCAGAUAACGUUUUCUUUUUUUGUUAUAAGUUGACUCGUAACUCGACUAUCCACUACGAGAUUUCUAUUUAUCAUUCAUAGGUUUACGUGACAGAUACGAACCUUCAGAACUUGAAGUCUCACUACUUUGGACCGAGUGACGCUUCCUUGUAAAGGCACUACGAUUUCUACGAUGACUGCCUUUUCUGGGUAUGAGAACCGAAGUCGACCCGUUGACCUUGAUGAAACGACGGUUAGCGGGACUCUUUUUCCGGGGCUUUAAGCUCCGGUGAGUAGCCCUCUUUCGUUUCCUUGAAAAAAACUUACAUGAUUUCGUCUUGGUACCAUUAUACAAACGACGUUUACCAGAACCUUAGAAUGUACGACUCUUUAGGGUUACCCUAUAACGCUUCCUCAAUAAAUGUGUCCAUGUACUUCGACGUAGUCCUUCAUAUAAACAAGUCCAUGGACUACAUACCUAGUUAAACCGGGUGUAUAUAAAACGAGUUCCGGAAAAGGUUGUUCGUCAAUUUUACAUGGUUUUGACACGUGCCUUCAAGAAGAUGUUGUGUCUACGUUGAUGUGAGGAUAUGGAAAGGGCUUGUGUAAUACUUCGACUCGUUACCGUUCUGACGGCCUUUAGAAACGACUCUCGAUAUGUAAACCGAGGUAGUUUAAUAAAUAAUGCCAAAUUACAACCGCAAAGUUACGUCUUCAAAAGACGAAGAUGAGAUGUCUUCUGUUUUGCUUGUCAACUACUCCAAGCACGUUGUCAGAGACUCGAAGUCUUGCGGUAAUCUCACAAGUCAGAUAACAGACAACGUAGUUGCAUGGUAAGGGUACCAAAACUACUCUCCUUUUAUCUUUGGGUACAGCUCAUAACGUCUGUGAACGAACUACGACGAUUCCAAGUAGCACUACGGCGACUUGUUCGACUCUUCGUUUGGUUCGUUUUUAACCUUCAAUGGGCAGUUUAACGAAAUCGACUACUUCGAGCGGCCGCCCGACUUCUUGUUUCCUUUAAGGUCAAUCUUUCUUCCUUCGUUCUCCUGCUUAAUUUCGUUCAUUACGUUGUCCUCGUCGUGAAACUCGCACAGUUCCUUGUUACCUUUUGUAGGUUGUUGUGGGGACCAUUCUCUUUUCUAUCCAGGUCCGUACUUCUACUUCUACCCCUGUCACCCUUCUUCUCCUCCUUCCCACCGUUCUCUUCCUUCCUAGUCUUCUGUUUCUACGUUAUGCUUCUACUACUUCUUCUAGUUAUGUCUUUACUUGGUCUCCUUCUACUAAUACGUUUGUACAGUUCCCUAGGACCGCCACUAUCUGGUCUCUUUCGGGGUCUAGUGGAAGAACGCCGACGACCAGAACUCCUAAGACUGCGGCUUCUACUUUGCCCAGUAGGAGUUAGGCACUAUCUCGCCUUCUCUGCUCGUACCAGUCUUAGACUGCUGCUCCUUGGUCACGUCGCUAGUCACGUUGGAUGGUCGGGUCCAGGCUUACUAGACUCACUUACUUUAUUCAUCUUCCUGUUUCGAGCGAGAACUGUCACUACUAUGUAAUCCAAUACUACAACAACAUCUUCAGGGUUGUCAAAUUAAAUGAAAACCCGACAUUGUUUUAUUAAAGACACCAUCAAAAAAAAAACCCUCCCUUAAGCGUCAUCAAGAUCUCGAUUCUUUUCUAUUUGGAAUUCCCGGUACAAACGGGUAUGAUUGGCUUCGUGACAUAGGUUAAGUACUGUGCAAAGAUGCAAUAGGACAUCAUACAAAAUACUGAUAGGACAGAAAAGACCA
Molecule: ribosomal RNA, 3592 nt
Filed under: Triticum aestivum (bread wheat)
Lineage: Eukaryota; Viridiplantae; Streptophyta; Magnoliopsida; Poales; Poaceae
Description: partial small subunit ribosomal RNA
Source: RNAcentral